Molecule: long non-coding RNA, 663 nt
Filed under: Sorghum bicolor (sorghum)
Lineage: Eukaryota; Viridiplantae; Streptophyta; Magnoliopsida; Poales; Poaceae
Description: long non-coding RNA (SBIC_LNC005030)
Source: RNAcentral
GGUGUUAAAAAUCCACUGUGUACCAUAGUCAGGGAUGUUUAUGGUCAAGAGAAAAGAUCCUUUCUUCUCAAUCCUGUCACUUGGAGCUUUUGUAUAUUUUUGAAAGAAAGUUAGCAUACCUUUUUAUCCUCAUAGGUUCUCUCAGAUCACUCAUUAUCUUUUAUAUAUCUCACUGAGGUUGUUUUAUUUUGCAAAAAUUCUCAAGCACUCUUACUUUGCAUUUAUUGCCUGAUCAAAACGGGAUCCGAGGAGGGGAAUGUCAUACUCUUAGAUCAAACACUUUGAAAAUUAAAAACUUUGUCAACUCUUGCUGGCAUAUUGCUUAUUAGAGGGACCAUGGGCUAUUAUUUUUUUUAAGUGGAUACCGAGGUAUCCCUAAUUCUAGUGCCGGGCACUUGUCCAUUUUUUUCUGUGAGGUUAUCGAGCACUUGCUCCUUUUUAUUUCCUCGAAAUAUUUCUAUUUUUUCAUAGCCCAUGCCUCUAAUGCAAUAAUACUUCGGAAGAGUGAAUCUUACUGAAAUAAUGUAUUGAUCUUAGGAGCAUGAUAAAUCUCUCAACAAGGGUCUAACUCAUUUUGAACAAACUCAAUACAGAGCAGAUAGCUUUUAUAAUCAUUAUUAAUAUUUUUAGUUUUAUCAGGCAUAUAAAACACUGAGGAUGGUA